RNAcentral lists this ribosomal RNA (377 nucleotides) under uncultured bacterium. RNAcentral's name for it is "bacterial SSU rRNA". It matches the Rfam family "Bacterial small subunit ribosomal RNA", at positions 521 to 896 of the family's 1533-position model. The record is from RNAcentral.
UAAGACGAACCUUGCAAACGUUAUUCGGAAUUACUGGGCUUAAAGGGUGCGUAGGCUGUGCAGAAAGUUGGGUGUGAAAUCCCUCGGCUCAACCGAGGAAUAGCAUUCAAAACUACUGUGCUAGAGGAAUACAGAGGUAAGCGGAACUUCGGGUGGAGCGGUGAAAUGCGUUGAUAUCCGAAGGAACACCGGUGGCGAAAGCGGCUUACUGGGUAUUUUCUGACGCUGAUGCACGAAAGCUAGGGGAGCGAACGGGAUUAGAUACCCCGGUAGUCCUAGCCGUAAACGAUGAGCACUGGGUUGGAGGGUCCUCCAUAGCCUUCCAGCCGCAGCGAAAGUGUUAAGUGCUCCGCCUGGGGAGUAUGGUCGCAAGGCUG